Molecule: ribosomal RNA, 459 nt
Filed under: Metschnikowia pulcherrima
Lineage: Eukaryota; Fungi; Ascomycota; Pichiomycetes; Serinales; Metschnikowiaceae
Description: partial large subunit ribosomal RNA
Rfam family: Eukaryotic large subunit ribosomal RNA
Source: RNAcentral
AAAGCGGAGGAAAAGAAACCAACAGGGAUUGCCUCAGUAACGGCGAGUGAAGCGGCAAAAGCUCAAAUUUGAAAUCCCCCGGGAAUUGUAAUUUGAAGAGAUUUGGGUCCGGCCGGCGGGGGUUAAGUCCACUGGAAAGUGGCGCCACAGAGGGUGACAGCCCCGUGAACCCCUUUAACGCCCUCAUCCCAGAUCUCCAAGAGUCGAGUUGUUUGGGAAUGCAGCUCUAAGUGGGUGGUAAAUUCCAUCUAAAGCUAAAUACCGGCGAGAGACCGAUAGCGAACAAGUACAGUGAUGGAAAGAUGAAAAGCACUUUGAAAAGAGAGUGAAAAAGUACGUGAAAUUGUUGAAAGGGAAGGGCUUGCAAGCAGACACUUAACUGGGCCAGCAUCGGGGCGGCGGGAAGACAAAACCACCGGGGAAUGUACCUUUCGAGGGAUUAUAACCCCGGCUCCUCUA